RNAcentral lists this long non-coding RNA (1854 nucleotides) under Mus musculus (house mouse). Its description in RNAcentral is "regulator of early neurogenesis 1". The record is from RNAcentral. Lineage: Eukaryota; Metazoa; Chordata; Mammalia; Rodentia; Muridae.
GGGCGCCCUCCCCACCCCCACGAGGGCCGCGGCCGUGGGGCGCUGGUAGCUCUCCCGCCCCUCCGCCCUGCACCCCUCCCGCCCUAGGGCUCUUUCCUGGACUGCGGCUGCAGCCUUCUCUUCCCGGAGGGCUCAGAGUUCGUCCCCUUUUCGCGAUUGGGAACGUGGACACGCCGGAGCCUGGAUGCAGAAGGGCGCGCGGGAACAGGGAGCUGGUGCGCGAGCCGCAGCCCAGCGUCCAGGCCGCCCCACUCUCUGCUGAUCCAAAGGACUAGGGAAACCCUGCGCGCCGACGGUGGCCUGGACGUUGGCGCGGGCCCUGGCGCUAAAAAACGGAUCCCAUUUCCAGAAAGGCGGGCCGGGUAUCCCGCUCCUGCCUCCUGGAGAAUUAGCUCGGCGGAGGUCGACCAGCCGGGUAGGGAGGGAGGGAUGGAGGGACAGGCCUAGGGUCGACCAGCCGGAUAGGGAGUAGCUUCUGGGAGCUCCCUUGCCUACGGAGGGCCGGUGAGGCUGCCCUCAGAGCGCCGCCAGGUACGUGCUUUUUCCUUGUUUCCCGCGCGCCCAGAGCACACUCUGGGGAGGGAAGGAAUAAAAACCCAGCUGGUGUGUAGGAGAUUUUCGCACCAAACGUGUCUUUCUGAGGGGUCCUGGGACGGUAGCCGAACUCGGGGUAGCCUCCUGAGCUGUAUUCUGGAAUCCCUACUGGGCUCUCCACCACCCGUAAGACGGGCUUGGAGCCAGUUCCUGUGGAAAUGCGCGUCACUUUCUUCAGAGGCCCACGAAAUUCAUCCAGGACUCCAUGGGUACUACAGCAAGAUGGCUCUGUUUCGAAGUGGUUCAUACAGUUAUCCCCCAACCCGGAAACCUAGAAUUCUCGUUUUCUGAACCGGGAUGUUUACUUUAGGGAAACCUGGUCUUGGCUUCUGCUGCGCGCCGGGUGUCUAGGAACGAAUCCCUCCUGGAUCCGGGAACCCCAGAUUUGCGGGGUUAGGAGAUACCCUCAGAGUUGUGGUUUUUUGUUGGUGGUGGUUUGUUAAGAGCCUGGUAGCUGAACUGGAGCGGGCCCCGUCCCCUCCCCCAUACCCACUUCAAACAAAAGAGCUCCUCCGAGAAUAUUUUUUAAGGGGAAAGCGCUUCUGAAUGUGGACCCUCAGUUCUCCCCGCCCCCCGUUCCGAGGAAGGACAAGGGUUUUAUAUGUGUGUUUAAAACAAAGGCGAAGCUAGACGCGAGUUGCCGGGAAAGGGCCGCUUUUAUUUUAAAGUUCUUGAAGAAUUCACUUUCUUUUCUCCCAAGUUAGCUGCAGCUGAGCCAGAAGCGUCCCCACUGGCUUACCCGAUAGUGGGAUUUUACACGGUGUCGGCUAAGGGUGGCUUUGUGAGAAGACCAUUUCAGAAGAAGAAACGGGGCUCUGGCUGGUGGGGUAGAAACCCCUAUGGAAUGAAAAGUACUCCCAGUCUCUUUGAGGAAGAUUGCAAAGUAAGUUGGGGUGAGGAAGAGUGUGACUUCCCUACCCAGAGUCUGGUUGAGCACGGAUCCCGCCGAGGAGAGAAGGGUCCCGGCCGGGGGGAAGGUCCCUCUUUCUGGGACAAAGCGAUCCUUAAUUGUGGCCACCUUCCAAAGUCCGGGGCGAAUUCGCUACGCGCGUCUGCCCGGGCGGCGCUUGGUGGGUAGUCCCGCUUCCACCAAAACUCUGUGUUUCCUUUCUCUCAAAAUAAAACUCAACAAGCCAUAAAGCUUCCGACGCCGGUGGAGAAGGCGCCGCGGAUUUAUGGCCCCUGAAUUCCCUACUCUCUAAUUAUCCUUGUUUUUACUUGACUUAUGGGUAGUGACCAAUAAAAUCAUUUUCCAUUUUG